UACGUAGGGUGCGAGCGUUGUCCGGAAUUAUUGGGCGUAAAGAGCUCGUAGGCGGUGUGUCACGUCGGCCGUGAAAACCUGGGGCUUAACUCUGGGCGUGCGGUCGAUACGGGCAUCACUAGAGUUCGGCAGGGGAGACUGGAAUUCCUGGUGUAGCGGUGAAAUGCAUAGAUAUCAGGAGGAACACCGGUGGCGAAGGCGGGUCUCUGGGCAACUACUGACGCUGAGGAGCGAAAGCGUGGGGAGCGAACAGG
Molecule: ribosomal RNA, 254 nt
Filed under: uncultured bacterium
Lineage: Bacteria
Description: partial 16S ribosomal RNA
Rfam family: Bacterial small subunit ribosomal RNA
Source: RNAcentral